RNAcentral lists this long non-coding RNA (261 nucleotides) under Homo sapiens (human). RNAcentral describes it as "HSALNT0005747". Lineage: Eukaryota; Metazoa; Chordata; Mammalia; Primates; Hominidae. The record is from RNAcentral.
CUCUAAGGGUUUGAUAUCAAAGCAUUGAGUUUUCAUAGGUGAUCCCCAAAAGCUGACAGGUACCUCUGAAGAAUCAAACCAAUACAGUAAUAACGCAUCUUAACUGAUCACUUAAAUCGCAACUUUUAAAUCCCCAAAUUUUUAAGUGUCAAGUUUAUUAUUCUAGAAGUAUCCAACAUAUCCAAAAUAUACUGUGAGUCUAUAAGAGGGGGUUUCUGUAUAUAGGUUUUUAAAUUUUACCAAAGUUGGAGCACUUAGUGA